RNAcentral lists this ribosomal RNA (1393 nucleotides) under metagenome. Its description in RNAcentral is "bacterial SSU rRNA". It matches the Rfam family "Bacterial small subunit ribosomal RNA", at positions 131 to 1498 of the family's 1533-position model. The record is from RNAcentral.
UCGGGAUCGGGGAUAACAUUGCGAAAGCGAUGCUAAUACCGGAUAAUAUCUCUUGAACCUCGGUUUUCGGGAUCAAAGGUGGCCUCUCCUUGGAAGCUUCUGUUUGGGGAUGAGCCCGCGUACCAUUAGCUUGUUGGUAGGGUAACGGCCUACCAAGGCUGCGAUGGUUAGCUGGUCUGAGAGGAUGAUCAGCCACACUGGAACUGACACACGGUCCAGACUCCUACGGGAGGCAGCAGUGAGGAAUUUUGCGCAAUGGGGGAAACCCUGACGCAGCAACGCCACGUGAGUGAUGAAGGCUUUCGGGUCGUAAAGCUCUGUCAAGUGGGAAGAAAUCACUUGGUGAUAAUACCACCAUGUGUUGACGGUACCACUGAAGGAAGCACCGGCUAACUCCGUGCCAGCAGCCGCGGUAAUACGGGGGGUGCAAGCGUUAUUCGGAAUUACUGGGCGUAGAGCGCGCGUAGGCGGUUUGGCAAGUCAGAUGUGAAAGCCCGGGGCUCAACCCCGGAAGUGCAUUUGAAACUGCUUGACUUGGGUAUGGGAGAGGGAAGUGGAAUUCCUGGUGUAGCGGUGAAAUGCGUAGAUAUCAGGAGGAACACCGGUGGCGAAGGCGACUUCCUGGACCAAUACUGACGCUGAUGCGCGAAGGCGUGGGGAGCAAACAGGAUUAGAUACCCUGGUAGUCCACGCAGUAAACGUUGAACACUAGGUGUAGCGGGUAUUGACCCCUGCUGUGCCGCAGCUAACGCAUUAAGUGUUCCGCCUGGGGAGUACGGCCGCAAGGUUAAAACUCAAAGGAAUUGACGGGGGCCCGCACAAGCGGUGGAGCAUGUGGUUUAAUUCGACGCAACGCGAAGAACCUUACCUGGAUUUGACAUCUCGGGAAUCUCUUGGAAACUUGAGAGUGCCCUUCGGGGAGCCCGAUGACAGGUGCUGCAUGGCUGUCGUCAGCUCGUGUCGUGAGAUGUUGGGUUAAGUCCUGCAACGAGCGCAACCCCUAUCUUUAGUUACCAGCAUUCAGUUGGGGACUCUAAGGAUACUGCCCCGGUUAACGGGGAGGAAGGUGGGGAUGACGUCAAGUCCUCAUGGCCUUUAUAUCCAGGGCUACACACGUGCUACAAUGGACUGUACAAAGGGUCGCGACACCGCGAGGUGAAGCUAAUCCCGUAAAGCAGUACGUAGUUCGGAUUGGAGUCUGCAACUCGACUCCAUGAAGUUGGAAUCGCUAGUAAUCGUGGAUCAGAUGCCACGGUGAAUACGUUCCCGGGCCUUGUACACACCGCCCGUCACACCACGAGAGUUGGUUGUACCAGAAGUCGUUGGGCCAACCCAUUAGGGAGGCAGGCGCCUAAGGUAUGGCUGAUGAUUGGGGUGAAGUCGUAACAAGGUA